UGGGGAAUAUUGCACAAUGGGCGCAAGCCUGAUGCAGCCAUGCCGCGUGUGUGAAGAAGGCCUUCGGGUUGUAAAGCACUUUCAGCGAGGAGGAAGGUGGUGAACUUAAUACGUUCAUCAAUUGACGUUACUCGCAGAAGAAGCACCGGCUAACUCCGUGCCAGCAGCCGCGGUAAUACGGAGGGUGCAAGCGUUAAUCGGAAUUACUGGGCGUAAAGCGCACGCAGGCGGUUUGUUAAGUCAGAUGUGAAAUCCCCGGGCUCAACCUGGGAACUGCAUUUGAAACUGGCAAGCUAGAGUCUCGUAGAGGGGGGUAGAAUUCCAGGUGUAGCGGUGAAAUGCGUAGAGAUCUGGAGGAAUACCGGUGGCGAAGGCGGCCCCCCUGGACGAAGACUGACGCUCAGGUGCGAAAGCGUGGGGGCAGCAAACAGGAUUAGAUACCCUGGUAGUCCACGCUGUAAACGAUGUCGAUUUGGAGGUUGUGCCCUUGAGGCGUGGCUUCCGGAGCUAACGCGUUAAAUCGACCGCC
Molecule: ribosomal RNA, 529 nt
Filed under: uncultured bacterium
Lineage: Bacteria
Description: partial 16S ribosomal RNA
Rfam family: Bacterial small subunit ribosomal RNA
Source: RNAcentral